UACGGGGGGGGUAAGCGUUGUUCGGAAUUACUGGGCGUAAAGGGCUCGUAGGCGGCCAACUAAGUCAGACGUGAAAUCCCUCAGCUUAACUGGGGAACUGCGUCUGAUACUGGAUGGCUUGGAUUCGGGAGAGGAAUGCGGAAUUCCAGGUGUAGCGGUGAAAUGCGUAGAUAUGCGGAGGAACACCGAUGGCGAAGGCAAUCCCCUGGCCUGCACUGACGCUCAUGCACGAAAGCGUGGGGAGCAAACAGG
RNAcentral lists this ribosomal RNA (252 nucleotides) under uncultured bacterium. Its description in RNAcentral is "partial 16S ribosomal RNA". It matches the Rfam family "Bacterial small subunit ribosomal RNA", at positions 524 to 776 of the family's 1533-position model. The record is from RNAcentral.